GACGUAGGAGGCGAGCGUUGUCCGGAUUCAUUGGGCGUAAAGAGCCCGCAGGCGGUUUGGCAAGUCGGCUGUGAAAACCCGAAGCUCAACUUCGGGCCUGCAGCCGAAACUGCCCGACUAGAGGUAGGUAGGGGAGAUCGGAAUUCCUGGUGUAGCGGUGAAAUGCGCAGAUAUCAGGAGGAACACCGGUGGCGAAGGCGGAUCUCUGGGCCGUACCUGACGCUCAGGUGCGAAAGCUAGGGGAGCGAACAGG
Molecule: ribosomal RNA, 253 nt
Filed under: uncultured bacterium
Lineage: Bacteria
Description: partial 16S ribosomal RNA
Rfam family: Bacterial small subunit ribosomal RNA
Source: RNAcentral